GUAGGUGUCUGAUGGAGGGUAUGCGUUUGGUUGCAUGUCUUUUACAUUUUUUAAAAUCACUGUUGCCCUAAUGAAAUUCCUUAAACAUGUGUAUACACUGUAAGCAAUGUACAUAUACAGAGUGAGAGAGAAAGUGAAAAAUGAAAGAGAUACAAAUAGAGAGAUAGAUCUUUUCAGUUGCUGUCACAGAUUUUGAAAUUUGAAAAUUUGCGAACUUGGUAUAUUGAUAUAAAAGCACCCAGUACACUCAAGGAGUGGUUGGCUUUAGGAAGGGC
Long non-coding RNA from Octopus sinensis (East Asian common octopus), 275 nucleotides. RefSeq lists it as uncharacterized. Lineage: Eukaryota; Metazoa; Mollusca; Cephalopoda; Octopoda; Octopodidae. The record is from RefSeq and is a predicted model, not a curated record. The transcript is spliced from 3 exons.